This 594-nucleotide long non-coding RNA is filed under the name Gallus gallus (chicken). Its description in RNAcentral is "lncRNA (ENSGALG00010025930.1)". Lineage: Eukaryota; Metazoa; Chordata; Aves; Galliformes; Phasianidae. The record is from RNAcentral.
CAAACAUGCAGAAAUGAAAACAUUUUACUUUUUUCUUUGCCAGUAUGUACAUUUCUCAGUAAAUAUUAUUAAAGAUGCUGACACUAACAACAGAGCUUCUUCUCUUCGUAGCCAAAUCGCUUUUUCUGUUUUCCUUCUGCAGUUAAAGAAGUCAUAAACAAUCUCUGUCUGAUCACAGUUCUACAAGUGUAGCAAUUAUUUUCUAAUCAAUUUCAGAGCAGUAUUUCCUGAUUUUUCCUGACUUGAACUCUUCAGAAGGGAUCCUGCAGUGCUCUGUGUUACAUAACUUCUGAUGAAGUCACUUUGUCCAGUCUAUAUGAUGAACUGCAGCAGUAAUCCAUUUACAGGUUUUGUAUUGCCAAGGUGGGAAAAUCAAAUUCUAGAAAAUAGCAAACCACCACCAUCAUCCCCUUCCCCUUCUUUGACUGCCACAACUGGUAAGUGUUUACAAGUUAUCACUCUUUAGAACCUGGAAUGAGGCACAGCUACCUUCUACAGGCAGGCAGCAAAACAUUUUAAGUAUCAGAGAGUCAUGCCAAUACAAUCUAUUGUCUGUAAGACUAAAGGUUAUUAUUUGCUUGGGGCCAGUUAUUU